CCUACGGGUGGCUGCAGUGGGGAAUCUUCCACAAUGGGCGAAAGCCUGAUGCAGCAACGCCGCGUGAAGGAAGACGGUUUUCGGAUCGUAAACCUCUGUUCUUAGUGAAGAACAAUGACGGUAAUAAAGGAGCAAGCCCUGGCUAACUACGUGCCAGCAGCCGCGGCAAUAUGCAGGUGGCAAGCGUUGUUCGGAAUUACUGGGCGUAAAGCGAGCGUAGGCGGGUAGCUAAGUCCGCUGUGAAAGCUACGGGCUUAACCUGUAGACUGCAGUUGAAACUGGCUUUCUUGAGUGAAGUAGAGGAGAGCGGAAUUCCGAGUGUAGCGGUGAAAUGCGUAGAUAUACGGAGGAACACCAGUGGCGAAGGCGGCCAACUGGGCUUUAACUGACGCUGAGGCUCGAAAGUGUGGGGAGCAAACAGGAUUAGAUACCCCAGUAGUC
RNAcentral lists this ribosomal RNA (441 nucleotides) under uncultured bacterium. RNAcentral describes it as "partial 16S ribosomal RNA". It matches the Rfam family "Bacterial small subunit ribosomal RNA", at positions 338 to 795 of the family's 1533-position model. The record is from RNAcentral.